CAGUCGCCGCGGUAAUACGUAGGUGGCAAGCGUUGUCCGGAAUUAUUGGGCGUAAAGCGCGCGCAGGUGGUUUAAUAAGUCUGAUGUGAAAGCCCACGGCUCAACCGUGGAGGGUCAUUGGAAACUGUUAAACUUGAGUGCAGGAGAGAAAAGUGGAAUUCCUAGUGUAGCGGUGAAAUGCGUAGAGAUUAGGAGGAACACCAGUGGCGAAGGCGGCUUUUUGGCCUGUAACUGACACUGAGGCGCGAAAGCUAGGGGAGCAAAUGGGAUUAGAUACCCCGGUAGUCCCUGUCUCUUAUAA
This 301-nucleotide ribosomal RNA is filed under the name uncultured bacterium. Its description in RNAcentral is "partial 16S ribosomal RNA". It matches the Rfam family "Bacterial small subunit ribosomal RNA", at positions 509 to 809 of the family's 1533-position model. The record is from RNAcentral.